Molecule: non-coding RNA, 21 nt
Filed under: Caenorhabditis elegans
Lineage: Eukaryota; Metazoa; Nematoda; Chromadorea; Rhabditida; Rhabditidae
Source: RNAcentral
UUCCGGCCUGAAAGGUAACUA